CUCGAAUUUAAAAGAGCUAGGUUAAAAUAUAUUUUAUUGUGUCAAAACUAUUUAAAAUUUUAAUCUUGAAGUUAUAUGCUAUUCAUUUUUAAAUAUAUCUGGUUUUUAAAGAAACAAAUUUAAUUUGAUUUAUUUUAAUAUUAAAAUUUUCUUUUUUUUUUGUUAUUAUAAUUUAAUUGAUUUUGGGAUUAGCUAAAAUCAAUAUUUCUAUUAAGGAUUAAUUUUUUUAGAUUAGUAGGAUUAGAAAUUUUCAUUUUUAUAAUUAUGUUAUAAUUUUUCUAGGUUUAUUAAUAUUUAUAUUUUUAUGGGUUUUUUAUUUAAAUUUUUAUUAUAAUUUAAAUUUUAAAGUAAUAAUGAUUGAAUUAGUAAAAUUAAUUUUAUAAUUAUUUUUUUUUGUAAAAUAAUUAUUAGGAAUUCGGCAAUUAGUUUUUCACCUGUUUAAUAAAAACAUGUCUUCUUGAUUAUAAUUUGAAGUCUGACCUGCUCUAUGAUUUUUAAAUGGCCGCAGUAUUUUGACUGUGCUAAGGUAGCAUAAUAAUUAGUUUCUUAAUUAGAAGCUUGUAUGAAUGGUUUGAUGAGAAAACUGCUUUCUUAUAAUUAAUUUUUUGAAUUUUAUCUUUAAGUUAAAAAGCUUAAAUUUAUUUAGGGGACGAGAAGACCCUUUAGAAUUUUAUAUAAUUUAAAGUUAAUUUUUUUUGGAAUUAAGAUAAUUAAUUUAAAAUUGUAUUUAGUUGGGGUGACUGAAAAAUUUAGUUAACUUUUUUUAUUUUUUACAUUAUAAAAGGUUUUAUGAUCCGUUAAACGAUUAUAAGAAAAAAUUACCUAAGGGAUAACAGCGUUAUAAUUUUUUAGAGUUCUUAUCGAAAAAAUUGAUUGCGACCUCGAUGUUGGAUUAGAAUUUCUUCUAGGUGCAGAAGCUUAGGGAGAGGGUCUGUUCGACCUUUAAAUUUCUACAUGAUCUGAGUUUAAACCGGCGUGAGCCAGGUUGGUUUCUAUCUUUAAAUUAUUUUAAUAUUUUAGUACGAAAGGAUUGGGUAUU
This 1039-nucleotide ribosomal RNA is filed under the name Cassida rubiginosa. RNAcentral's name for it is "16S ribosomal RNA". The stretch from base 643 to 1002 matches the Rfam family "Archaeal large subunit ribosomal RNA", at positions 2150 to 2716 of the family's 2987-position model. Lineage: Eukaryota; Metazoa; Arthropoda; Insecta; Coleoptera; Chrysomelidae. The record is from RNAcentral.